CCUACGGGAGGCAGCAGUGGGGAAUAUUGGACAAUGGGCGAAAGCCUGAUCCAGCCAUGCCGCGUGUGUGAAGAAGGUCUUCGGAUUGUAAAGCACUUUAAGCUGGGAGGAAGGGCAGUAAGUUAAUACCUUGCUGUUUGACGUUACCAGCAGAAUAAGCACCGGCU
This 167-nucleotide ribosomal RNA is filed under the name uncultured bacterium. Its description in RNAcentral is "partial 16S ribosomal RNA". It matches the Rfam family "Bacterial small subunit ribosomal RNA", at positions 338 to 498 of the family's 1533-position model. The record is from RNAcentral.